RNAcentral lists this ribosomal RNA (1051 nucleotides) under Cryobacterium sp. RNAcentral describes it as "bacterial SSU rRNA". It matches the Rfam family "Bacterial small subunit ribosomal RNA", at positions 63 to 1153 of the family's 1533-position model. The record is from RNAcentral. Lineage: Bacteria; Bacillati; Actinomycetota; Actinomycetes; Micrococcales; Microbacteriaceae.
CGAACGGUGAUGAGGAGUCGCUUUCUCUGAGAGUGGCGAACGGGUGAGUCACACGUGAGCAAUCUGCCCUUGAUCUGGGAUAAGCGUUGGAAACGACGUCUAAUACCGGAGACGAGCCUUGGAGGCAUCUCUGGGGGUGGAAAGAGUUUUGGUCAAGGAUGAGCUCGCGGCCUAUCAGCUAGUUGGUGAGGUAAUGGCUCACCAAGGCGACGACGGGUAGCCGGCCUGAGAGGGUGACCGGCCACACUGGGACUGAGACACGGCCCAGACUCCUACGGGAGGCAGCAGUGGGGAAUAUUGCACAAUGGGCGAAAGCCUGAUGCAGCAACGCCGCGUGAGGGACGACGGCCUUCGGGUUGUAAACCUCUUUUAGUAGGGAAGAAGCGAUGUGCUUGCCACAAAGUGACGGUACCUGCAGAAAAAGCACCGGCUAACUACGUGCCAGCAGCCGCGGUAAUACGUAGGGUGCAAGCGUUGUCCGGAAUUAUUGGGCGUAAAGAGCUCGUAGGCGGUUUGUCGCGUCUGCUGUGAAAACCCGAGGCUCAACCUCGGGCCUGCAGUGGGUACGGGCAGACUAGAGUGCGGUAGGGGGAGAUUGGAAUUCCUGGUGUAGCGGUGGAAUGCGCAGAUAUCAGAGGAACACCAAUGGCGAAGGCAGAUCUCUGGGCCGUAACUGACGCUGAGGAGCGAAAGCAUGGGGAGCGAACAGGAUUAGAUACCCUGGUAGUCCAUGCCGUAAACGUUGGGAACUAAAUGUGGGGACCAUUUCACGGUCUCCGUGUCGCAGCUAACGCAUUAAGUUCCCCGCCUGGGGAGUACGGCCGCAAGCUAAAACUCAAAGGAAUUGACGGGGCCCGCACAAGCGCGAGCAUGCGAUUAAUUCGAUGCACGCGAGACUACCAGCUGACAUAUAGAGAAACGUCUGAACAGUCGCCCGCAGUCUCUAUACAGUGGUGCAUGUGUCGUCAGCUCUGUCUGAGAUGUUGGUUAGUCCGCACGAGCGCACCUCGUCCAUGUGCAGCACGUAAUGUGGAACUCAUGGGAUACUGCC